Chelonia mydas (Green sea turtle) is the source of this 10349-nucleotide long non-coding RNA. RefSeq lists it as uncharacterized. The transcript has 3 exons. The record is from RefSeq and is a predicted model, not a curated record. NCBI's taxonomy places the organism in Eukaryota, Metazoa, Chordata, Testudines, Cheloniidae.
CUUGUGCACAGGAGAGGGAGCUCUCUGGUCUGAGUAGGAGCAGGAGCCGGGAACUCCUGAGGAUUCUGCUGGUGCUUCCUUUUGUAGGUUACUUCUCCUCCUGGGUCUGGUGCUCCGGCUGUGAAACUGAGAUAAUGCUCUGAAAACAAUUGGUGGCUACUGACGAUUUUAGGGCUGCUGCUGUGUCACACACAAGGGACAUUCAGAAUUCCUCCGACUGUAGGAAUGGAACUCAGUUUUUCCCGCUCCAUAAGCCAAGCCUAGCCCAGCUCAGCCCCCCUACUACUUGGGCUCUGUUAGCUUUCACAGGAAUGGGGCCUAUGAGAUGCUGUUGAUCGGUUAUGAUUCUCUCCAGCAGAGGGCAGUGGUUUGUAUAAACACUCGUUAUACUAUUUUCUCCAUUUUAAAGAUGGGGAAACUGAGGCAUGGGGUGAUCAUUGCCCAGUGAAUCAGUGGCAGAGCAGAUGUAGAACCCAGGAGGUGAGGCUCUCUCCUGAUUGUUUUAUUCUUGGGGGAUGAGGGGAGGAGUUAUCACCGGGGAAGAGGCAGGAGAAUGUGUAAGGGAUUCCCCUUUCACUCAGAUUUCCCAAGAAGCCUCUGAGUUGGGAGAGAGGGAGAAAUUUGCCAUGACCUUACUCCCUUUCCCUUAGGAUCCCCCCACAGAAGAAGUGACUACCCAGAGCUGCUGGGGCUCCGUUCUGUACAGCCAGAUUGAUAGGAUUUUCAUACAAAAAGAGCAUCCCACCCCCACCCUUGAAUAUAAUCAAGUUCACCCGUGUCAAAGCGGUUGCUGCUAUUGCCGGUUGUAAUUAAGAACAAAAUGCUCCCCGAGUAAAAAGAAAGAGAAAUCCCAGGUGUCCCUAAUACUCUGGAUUUCUGAUAGGUUUGUAUAAAGUUGGCUCCUUAAUCCGCAGGCAGCGGUACAACUGGAAUCCCCUCUGUUUCAUGGACUCCUACUGCUCCGCUCACUCUCACACAGACAUUGAACGGGAAGAUCGAUGAGCAGACAGUGCUAUGCACAUACGUCCUAACAUGCAGGCAAACCUUCUGCCCCCCACCCUUCCCCGAGAAAGAGAGAGUGGGAGGGCCUCAAGACCCAGAGCCCAGAUCUGGAUCAAAACUUUCCCAUAGUUUGAAGGACGUGGGGUUUUGGGCCCGUCUGUAAUAGAUGUGCACACAAACGUACGUUUGUAUAGGCGCGUGCACACGGACACGCACAACUGGUGCUAUUGCCUGAAAACAGGCAGGUGUAACUGACACACACAUGGGCAUGCUGAGACCCAGCAUUGGGCCGUACCUAUGUUUAGAGCUGUGCGUAUUACUGGUUUUUCGGUUUGCUUCAGUUCCAGUGUUUUGUUUGGGUUUUUGUUUUUUGUUUUUUUAAAAAUCAUUUUGGGCUGAACGAACCCCGUUGUUCGACCCAAACUGAAAUGGUUUGGUUUGGUUUUCAGCUUUUUUUAAAUGUUCUAAAUUUUUUAAAAGCAAGAUUGAAGGAAAUUUCAAAAUGAAAAGUUGUUUCCAGUUUAAAAAAAAUAGAAAUGUUUUAUUUAGAAAAUGUGGAAAUGAAACAUUUUGAUUUCUCUGGAAUUUAUUUUUAGUUUUUUUUUCUGACCAAAACAAUUUGUCAAAAUAGACAUGAAUUUCUGAAGUGUUUCAGUUGACCCAACUGCGUAUUUCUCUGAAAAAAUUUUUGGCUGAAAAGUUUUGCCCAGCUCUCCUCAGGACAGGGCAGACAAAGCCCUCCCCAAACCCCAUAAAAAUCACUGUCUACUCUGGCUGGGAUGUGAUCCUGUUAGUGAGCUGAAAAUGCAUUGAAGAUAUCCGUAACUCCCUUGCAUUCCAGUAUAGGCAGCUUCCUUCUCCCCAGAUUCAUUCACUCUAAGCAGGUGCCACACUAGUGCAAAUGCCUUUGCUCUUUUGCGCCUUCCAGUGAAGCCAUCAAAUGAUUCCCACCUGCUGUGAUUUGUGAAUGAAAGGGAGACCCCGUCUGGCCACAGGCUGCUCCAUUGCAAAACUAUCAUGUGUGAGCAAGAGGGACCUGUGUACAUGGGUAUUGCCCCUGGUCUGUCUCUCUCUCUUUUCUGAGCUGUCAGGAAGCAGAGCUGGAGAGAUGUGAUGGGUUUAGAUUAAAGGGAAAGGAAUGUCUGUUGGAGGCCACAGGAGCAGCUCCCUGCUACCUGGAAGGAGAUGCAAUGCUGGAGCUUCCCUAACCGCAGAAGAACAUUUCAUCCCUCUUUUGUUUAAAGGACAGUUAGUGCUGCAAAAGGUUAUGACCUUGUAGGCACCAGAGACUUUUCCAGUAAUCCACAGGACAGACAGCUGCCCCUGCCCUGCCUUGCCCAGGACCCUCAAGCUUGCCCUGGAGGGACAGAGAGCUCAGUUUCCUGGGUCUGUUCGCUUGUUGACUUGCUUGCUGAGAUUUCCAGGGAAGGUUGGCAUAGUACACUGGGCAGUGGGGCUAGAGCCCAAACUCAUCCAGAUGGGAAUGACUGAUGGUCACACACCAGCCCAGAUCUCAACCAGUGACCUACAAUUCUCCAGCUCAUUCUCAGGCCUGGGUGCAAUUGGGUCCCUGAAAGCAACACCCCACCCCUCCCCCCCUUAGACAGGGAGUGGACUCUUUCCCGAGGUGACUCAGAGGCUGUGGAUAUGCAGGGACAGGGAAAGUCCCUGUAAUGUGACUGUGAGAGUUUUCACACAAAGAUGCAAGGCUCGGUGUCCUUCACCGUUGAAACAUGACGAGGUUGAGCGGUGGAAGAACUCAUGGGAUUGCUGCAGAGCCGUUUGCCUCUAGGCUGGCAGCUUGAAUCCAAAUACCUUUGUGGAUCUGGGCCUUAGCCUCUCUGUGCCUCAGUUCUCCAUCUGUACAAUGGGGAUAAUAGCACUGCCCUGCCUCACAGGGGUGCUGGAAGAUUAAAUACACGCAAGGUUGUGAGGUGCUCAGAUACUGCAGGUAUGGGUGCCAUAAGACUACCAGUCCCUAUUUCUUUGCCUCCCUGAGUGAUUCCCCUGCGAGGAGCCUGUCUCUCAGGAAAUGAUUGCUGGUUCUGUCAGUUCAGUUCCCAUGAAGAAGAGCCAAAAAUUUCUCUCCCUUGCUUGGGAAGAUUCCGAAUCCGCUCUUGUCUACAGGCGAGAUUUACCUCCUUCUGUUGUGGGCUUAUAGCCUGAAACUCUGCAGUGCACAAUAAAACUAUGAGCAAAAAAGAUUAAAGAAUGAAAGGAUUAAAAUCUAAAGGUCUCAUGUGCCCUGUGCUCUGGAGAGUCUGUUCAGACUGAAGCCUCUCAGAGAGGCUGCCUGUGUAUCUCUGUAUUAGCACUGACAAAGAGAGGGUCUCUUAUUACUCAGGCUGAGCAGCUGUAUUCCUGGACGGGAAGGGCACCUGCCUGAAUCCCCCGUCUCAUGCAAUUCUUCAUCACAGGAAAGUCAGAGCGAAACAUCUGGCCGGCAGGGCAAGAUGUCAGGAUGUGUCUGGGGUGCAGUGAAGUGGCCAUUUCACAUGAAAGGAGCCCAUGCAAGCAGGUGAGUCCUUUGGAUUCUCACAGAAAUGGGGCUCUUGAUGCAGGGCUAACCACAGCAAUGUGUUUUGAGCGGGAUGGCCAGGUGGAUAAGGGACUAGGCCGGGACUUUGGACUUCAGUUUCUGACUCUGCUGCAGACACUCUGUGUGACCUUGGGCAAAUGACUUCAUCUCUGUGUGCCUCAGUUUCUCAUCUGUCAAAUGGUGAUCAUAAUGCUCCCUUUGCCUGUCUGCUUUGGUCAGAUUGUAAGCUCUUUGGGGCAUGGACUGUCUCGAUGUGUCUGUACAGCGCCUAGCACAAUGGGACCUCAGUUCUACUGUAACACAAAUAAAACUAGUACAAUAAUAAUAUCUUUGAAGGACUCCUGGCCGCAUCAGUUCAUGCAGCAUGGAGCUGAGCUCAUCGGGCUCAGGAUGGACUCUGGGUUCUAGGACCCUGCAAGGUGGGAGGGUCCCAACCUUGGUCUGCAGCCCAAGCCCGAACGUCUACACUGCAAUUAAACAGCCCCUUAGCCCAAGUCCCCCAAGCCUGAGGCAGCUGGCAUGGGCCAUCUGUGGGUUUCUAAUUGCAGUGUAGACAUACAGCUUCCCAGCUGCUUCUAGGUGCAACCGGGUGAGUGGCUUUAAUCUCUAAAGCCCUAUGUGACUUGGGAGCUUUCCCCUAAGGGUUUGAUCUUGGUCCCGCUGAAGUUAAUGGUUGCACUCCCAUUGCCUUCGUGGGUAUUGGAUUGAGCCCUGAAUGCUUGCCUCUAACUCUGGGCACUUUUGUGCUGGCUGAGAUCAGCUCCUUUUGACACUCCUGAGAACUAAAUGUUGUUCGUGAUGGAGAUUUCCCCUAGAGUGGGGCCAACUUUUGCUGUCGGUCCCCCCAGCUUCUUGGCCUUCAGCCCAUGGUGCAAAGCUUAGCUCUUGAGCCUGGUAUUUGAUUAACUGUAGGCUGGGGGUCUGGAGGAUAUUCCCAUCUUGUGGGUUGGGUGGUUAUUAGUGCUGUCCAGAGUAACCAGAACUGGUUGAUGGUUUGUUUCUGAUAUUAUGUAACAUGCUCUGAGGCCCUGGGAAUGGGUACGUGAUGAACUACAGUAGGGCCUAGGAGUCCAAGGCCCUGGGUGCCGGGUGCUGGACGAACACAGGACAAAAAGACAGUUCCCGUCCUCAAGAGCUGACAAUAGAAAACUACAUUCAAAAUACAAGAAUGAACGAGUAGGACUGGGAACCUCCUCCUAGAGGACGCAAAGUCUUUGGGAUAGAUCAGAGGACCCAGGUUAAGAAUGUGGGUUAUAUUCAUGGUUCUGCCACUAACUUUCUUGGUGACCUUAGACAAGUUGCUUAGUUUCUCAGUGCUUAACUUUCUCUCGCUGUGAAACAUGAAGAAUGAUCAUUAGAGCUGAGUAUUUCGUAAUUAGCAGAGAGGAAGAAUGGUCAGCAUAUUAGCCUUGGAUUUGGAAGACCUGGGUUCAAGUCUCACUUGUACCACAAGCUUCCUGUGUGACCUUGGGCAACCAUAAAGGAUUCCUACAGUAGGAGGGCUUUGGCAGUGGAGGUAGACCAGUAUCCCCUACUGGCAAAACUCUGCUUUUGGCAGUAUAGUUUAUUCCAGCUGGCAAAUGUGCAGCUUAACUGGUUUAGCUGUGUCCAUUCUAGGGGCUUCUGCCGACUUGGCCGUGUUCGUCAGAGAUCACACUUCUUUAUGCCCCUCACUGACAUAGCGAUGCUGGCAGAAGUCUGUAAUGUAGGCAUGGCCUUAGCCUCUCUGGGCCUCAUUUCCCCAUCUGCACAAUGGGAUUAAAAAAACUGCCCUGUCUCAUUGGUGUGUUGUGAGAACAAAUACAUUGAAGAUUGUGAGGUGUACCUUACAUAGAUAAUAAAUAGCUUCUUUUUUUCCCUCUUGCAGAAUAUCUGUGAGCAGAUCUUGAUUUCCUCCAAUUUGUCAUUUGACUAACUCUUUUGCAGAUGUGUUAAACUCUGUGCAUUGAUCACGAGUGGUUCUGGUUACUGAUUAUACAUGGCAGCCUUUUUGCUGUGUUACUCUGCAUAGUGAGUAGCAUUUGUACUAAGUUUAGCCUCUCGCCUGCGUGUGAGGGUCAGCAGAAGAGAGAACGUGAAGGAUGUAGGGCAGCGGUUCUCAAACAGUGCUCUAUGGCCCGCUGGCCAUCUAUACAGACUUUCUUGGUGGCAUGUAGGGAACCACGCACUGUCUGUGGAAGAGCCUUCUCUGAUGGAGUGGUCCACAGAGCUGGAAUGUUGGGAUGAUCUCUGCUGGUGGAGCGUCAGAUUUGGAUGGGGCCCCAAAAGUCUUGGAGACUUUCCUUCAUCAGAGUUUGACACCGUUAGACAUUUCAAAGCCAGACACUGGCAAUAUUUCACCCUCUCCCUUGUGAUGAUAAUGUUAGCCUUAAAUUUGCGUUCAGUGAAAUCUGCCUUUGCUCAGUUCUAAGGGUUGUGCAUUUCUGGAGACUUAUUAUCUGGUUCCAUCCAUUAGAUUCCCUCCAUCUUACUCUGCUCCUAUCUUAACGAGGGAUUAAUGCGUUGUCUGCCUGGUUUCCAAGUCAUAAUGGGAGAGUGGAAAAUGAUUUAUUUCAUGGGGUAGCAAAACUCGGCGUUAAUCUUAGGGAGGCUGUUAUUAAAAUGGUGCAGCAAAGAGAAUCUCUCUAUGCUUCAGAAGUCCAUAAUGGCUGAGGGGCUGAUGAGAUGUAACAAUGGGAAGAAGAGAAGGGUUUAUCAAUAAUAUUCAGAGUAGCUCAGUAACUCAUAAACCUUUUACUAACUUUCCAAACAUGAGGGAUGAAGUCCUAAGAGGUUUUUUUUUUUUGUCCUGGGAAUGUCCCUAUAAAUCAUUUCGUCUCAAAAUUGGGGAAAUAUAGUGUAGGUUCUUUCUCUACAGUGUGGGAAACUGUUGAACAUUUUGUCUUGAGUGUCCAGAUCCCCCUCAACAGAAGAGAUGGGAAGGAAGAGCAUAUUAAAUGGAAGAAUUUACUGUAAAAUCAUUACCUGAGCGCAGGAGUGGGAUAAAGAAGGGUAAAGGACCUGAUCCAGAGCCCACUGAAAUGGGCGGAAAGGCUCCCACGGAGCACAACUGCCUUUGGAUCAGGCUCAAAGUGAGAGGAGACGAUAUGUUGCGGAUCAGCUGAGAGGAAAGGAAACCCGCCUGCUGAGGGUUUAGAUGAGCAAGGCCGUUGGGGGAUUUCCAGGCUUACAACUCCUUGACUGACUUUCAGCCUGUACUGCCUUCCUGAGCUGGACCUGAGCAGCCAGGGCACAAACUGCUGACAGCACGACAACCCUCAGAUCUUUUAACACAGGCUACCGAACAGCUAUCAAAUGCUAACACAUGUUAGUUACUAAUGACCUGAGAGUAAUUGCAGCCAGUGACCUCGUGCAGACUGGCUCUUUAUCCCAUUACCAACCCCCAGGCCCUCUGUGUCCAUCUCAGUAUCUUGCAAUGUAGCUCUGACCAUGCCCAGUAACGAGAGAGGUCAGUUAUACCACGAGGGGGAACCAAGCUCACAACGUUAGGAUAUAUUUCUCUGGGCAGACAUGAAUGUUGUGUUGUCUGGACCGAGCUGUUUGCUUCAGAGGGUGGGUGUAGGGACAGGGUGGCUGGUAACAUGCUGGGGCAGAAAUUUAAUUCAGGGAGAAUGUGAUAAAUUAUUCUCAUGGGGGCAGGUGUUAAAGACAGGGGUGAAAUGAGGGAUGCAGGAGAUGUAAGAGGGGCUAUGGGAGGUAUGAGUAGUGCUUAAAAUGGUCUGAAAAAAAGUGUGUGUGUGCACGUGUGAGGGGGGGGUCUAUCAUCAUCUAGGAACAGCAGCUUUGGCAGGACAGUGCUUAAAGUGGGCCCCUCAAUGACUUAGGUUGAUGUGACCUCCCGUAAGCUCCCCACAUUAAACACUGGGCAUGGUGUGUUUGUUGUCAUGGGUGCCGGCAGGGGUGUGGAACCACAGCUCAGACUCCUGGUCAAUAAGAUGUUUUGCUGUCUAUCUAGAAUAGGGUGACCAGAUGCCUUGAUUUUAUAGGGACUGUCCUGAUUUUUGGGUCUUUUUCUUAUAUAUGCUCCUAUUACCCCCCACCUCAUGUCCCGAUUUUUCACAUUUGCUGUCUGGUCACCCUAAUCUAGAAGCUUUGGCAUCUAUGAAGUACAAUGGCUUCCUAUUGCACGUUUAAAUGGAAGGUAUCUACAAGAUGUAUUGAUCAUGCCCUGAGACUUGCUUGCUGAAGCUGCAGCUGCUAAAUGAAAUAGCUACUGUUCAAAAAGCAUGCGGUAAAGAAGUGGCUAGUAAGGAUAGUUACUAUCCAGGUUAGCUUCUAAACAAAGCUACAUGGUGUGUGCACACACCCGCACGCAAAAUAAGACAGUGAGUAUUCACCUAUUGGUAUGAAUUUGUUUCAGCCACUCUCACAGCCCUGGUGAGUCGUCCCAUUGAAGUCAGUGGGAGGAAGGUACUACUCCACGUGAGCAAGCUUGUGCGAGCUGUCUCUUUGUGUUCACCUUCUAUGAACGUUCACACAAUCAAAUCUUACAGGAGGGAAGAGAGGUUUUAAUUUCACUUUCUGUGAGCAUUCCCAUCAGAAUCAAUCAGGGAACCAAAACAAUACCAUACCACAGUUGUAACUAAGCAACCCAGCUCAACUAGCAAGCAAUACAGAGAAUGAAAUUAAUGAAGAAUUUUGCUGAGUAAUUUCAGAUAAUGCAUUGGUUAGAAAAAGUCUCACUCUGCACGCAGAUAUUUUGCAAAGAGAAGGAGGCAAAACGUGUUGAGUAAAUUCUUUGCUGUGAACUACAUGGAUUAUAACCUGUUUGGGGCCAGGGACCUCCUUUUCCUUGUGUUUGUGCAGCACCUAGCACAAUGGGAGCCCAACCUCAGUUGAAGCCUCUAGUUGCUGCCACAACGCAAAUAAAUAAUGAUUCACACUUAAUAUUAAGGGUGCACUUAUAAAAAGCUCAGGAAAGGCUAACAACUGACCAUGAGCUAUGCUAAGAAUCAGUUGCAGGCCAGAAUAGUACAUGUUAUGUAUGAUUAUACACCAGAGUAGAAGGUGUUAAGAUAGUUACAAGCCAGCUGUUGACCUGAUUAUUAAGAGUUUAUUAAAGCUUCUAUUAAUCAUUUAUUAGCCAUUUUAUGAACUAUUGAUCAAUGUAUCUUAAUAUAAAGCAUGACUAUAAUAGUGAUAACUGUUAACUCAGCUCUAAUACAAAUGCACACUUUAAAAUGGUGGAGAGAGAGAGGCUGGAAGGGACCAUUAGAUCAGCUAGUGUGAGCUCCUGUAUAUCACAGGCCAUUAAACCCUUCUAUUAAACCCAGAGACUUUAGUAAGGCUAUGUCUACACUACAGCUUAUGUUGGCAGAGCUUAUAUCACUCAGAGGUGUGAACACCUCCCCUCCUCCGAGUGAUGUAAGUUACACCGACAUAAGUGCUGGUGUGGACAGUGCUAUGUCAGCAGGAAAGCUUCUCCUGGCAACAUGGCUUCUGCCGCUUGCAGAGGUGGUUUUAUUAUGCUGAUGGGAGACAGCAUCUUCGCUAGAUGUGGUGCAGUGGCGCAGCUGCAGCACUGUAUGUGUAGACAUGCCCUUAGACUAAAGCAUUUCAUACCUCAGGAGACUAAACUGUGACCCACAGGCCAGGGACAGGAGAGACCAAGGUGCCACCAAAGACUGAGGCCCCUGCAAUGGCAGGGAAUUGAUUAGGUGAGACAUGCCCACGUGAUCUCAGCAGGCAAAUCACCCCCCAUGCUGCAGAAAAAGGCAAAAACCUCCAAGGUCCUCACCAAUCUGCCCAGGGGGAAAGUUCCUUCCUGACCACAAAUGGGAUGAUCGCUAUGAGCUUGUGAGGACACACCACCAGCCAGGCUCUGAGAAAGAGGGUUCAGGCACAAGUCACUGGUCUGUCCCAUCUGGUGACCCAUAUCCCAGCUGUGGCCGGUCUCUGAUGCUUCAGGUGGAGGUGAAAAAAAGCCCCAGAAUACAUCUAGCCAAUUGAGAACCAGGGGAAAAAAUUCCUUCCUGUGCUGUGCAGGUGACUGCCUGAAGCAUGAGAUUUGAUUAUAAUUAUUAUCUUGAUGCAGAGCUGCAAGUGAUAUGGGCGCGUGGAGGGCAAUGCGCGCCAGGCUUUCGAUGAGCUCAGUGCUACAGCAUUGAACCAAAACGCAAAGUACGGACGGAUUCUGCAUUCGGCCAGUCUCUGCUACCCGACAUAAGGAUGGAAUGUUCCUGACCCCCCCACCUACAAGUAAACGAAUGAACUUUAUGGGCCAGAUUCAUGGCCACAUGUGGAGAUACACCAGGCAUGGAUUUGGCCUCCUCUGAUCAAUCUGAGUCCCAGGUGCUGUAACUCCCCAUGAGGAAGGGUUGUCAUCUCUAAAUGCCCUCACUUCUCUUGGAAGCAGGGUCUCUCCUAAGCCUUGGGUAUUAACGUACUCCUCCACUGUCAGCCAGCGACAGCAGCGGCAUGUAGUGGCUGCAGUAUCAUUUGUUAAUUUCUUGAUAGCACAAUAUAAUGACUAGCUGCGUUCCCAUAUCACUGACACGGAGCAUUACUGAUUAUGAUGAUUAAUGGGUUUAAUUUACUUAGAAAGAAUGAUGUGCAAUAAUUCUGUUGUCAAAGCUGACAAUCUGGAGUUCCAGUUGGUACCCUGUCAGCACUGUUGUUACCAGCUUUAGAAUACGGGCCGCUGUUGGACUUUUCCAUCCAUUCGCAAAGCUGCCUCACUGCUGGAAGGGCAUCUACAUCUCCUGGGAGCAACUGGGCUUCACUUCCUCCAUUGAAACUAUUGGAUUUUUUUCCUCUUAAUAAUAUUUUUCUUUAAUGGUAUUUUCAUAAAGGUGUCAUUUUAAAACAA